Molecule: ribosomal RNA, 253 nt
Filed under: uncultured bacterium
Lineage: Bacteria
Description: partial 16S ribosomal RNA
Rfam family: Bacterial small subunit ribosomal RNA
Source: RNAcentral
UACGGAGGGGGCGAGCGUUGUUCGGAAUCACUGGGCGUAAAGAGUGCGUAGGCGGUUAUACAAGUCAGAAGUGAAAUCCCAGGGCUUAACCCUGGAAUUGCUUUUGAGACUGUAUGACUAGAGAUCUAGAGAGGUUGGGGGAAUUCCGAGUGUAGAGGUGAAAUUCGCAGAUAUUCGGAGGAACACCAGUGGCGUAGGCGCCCAACUGGCUAGAUACUGACGCUGAGGCACGAAAGCGUGGGGAGCAAACAGG